RNAcentral lists this long non-coding RNA (527 nucleotides) under Chinchilla lanigera (long-tailed chinchilla). RNAcentral's name for it is "lncRNA (ENSCLAG00000022903.1)". Lineage: Eukaryota; Metazoa; Chordata; Mammalia; Rodentia; Chinchillidae. The record is from RNAcentral.
GAACUGAAAUGUUACUGUGCAGCUGAGAACAUGACUUGUUCUGUGGUCACUGGUAUGGAACUGAAUAGGUUGCAUAUUUGUGCUCUGCACAGGUCUCUGAUGGAUUUGAGUGUCAUAUCUAAAACGGGUGCACUAACUUAACACUCUGGACGAGCCUGAGUCACUAGAACCAAUGUGGACUUUAUUGAAGUGGAACUGUAUUAACUUGGUAAAGACACAGAGUCACUCUGUGGCUGCUCUCAGACUCUCAGGAACUGCAGCUCCUGUGGGCUCUUGAUGAAAGUGCGCGGUGCUUGUGUUAGUGCUACUUCCUCGUUAAGUGUAAUUAUUUGGGGUUUUCUGAGUAACAUGAGGUGUAACUUUGCAGCCUAGGCAUUUAAUAUGUAAUGAUAAAGCCUUGUCUCCACUUAAAACUUACAGGUAUAGUUAGACACUUCCAUUUUGGAAACCAAGAAGAUGCCCAUGAAUUUCUUCAGUACACCACUGACGCUAUGCAGGAAGCAUGUUUGACUGGUAUUGAUGAAUAA